This 493-nucleotide ribosomal RNA is filed under the name uncultured bacterium. RNAcentral's name for it is "partial 16S ribosomal RNA". It matches the Rfam family "Bacterial small subunit ribosomal RNA", at positions 29 to 508 of the family's 1533-position model. The record is from RNAcentral.
AGUGAACGCUGGCGGUAGGCCUAACACAUGCAAGUCGAACGGCAGCACAGUAAGAGCUUGCUCUUACGGGUGGCGAGUGGCGGACGGGUGAGGAAUACAUCGGAAUCUACUUUUUCGUGGGGGAUAACGUAGGGAAACUUACGCUAAUACCGCAUACGACCUACGGGUGAAAGCAGGGGAUCUUCGGACCUUGCGCGAUUGAAUGAGCCGAUGUCGGAUUAGCUAGUUGGCGGGGUAAAGGCCCACCAAGGCGACGAUCCGUAGCUGGUCUGAGAGGAUGAUCAGCCACACUGGAUCUGAGACACGGUCCAGACUCCUACGGGAGGCAGCAGUGGGGAAUAUUGGACAAUGGGCGCAAGCCUGAUCCAGCCAUACCGCGUGGGUGAAGAAGGCCUUCGGGUUGUAAAGCCCUUUUGUUGGGAAAGAAAAGCAGCAGGUUAAUACCCCGCUGUUCUGACGGUACCCAAAGAAUAAGCACCGGCUAACUUCGUGC